UCAAUAAGCGGAGGAAAAGAAACUAACAAGGAUUCCCCUAGUAACUGCGAGUGAAGCGGGAAAAGCUCAAAUUUAAAAUCUGGCGGUCUUUGGCCGUCCGAGUUGUAAUUUAGAGAAGCGUCUUCCGCGCCGGACCGUGCACAAGUCUCCUGGAAUGGAGCGUCAUAGAGGGUGAGAAUCCCGUCUUUGGCACGGAUGCCUGGUGCUUCUGUGAUGCGCUCUCGAAGAGUCGAGUUGUUUGGGAAUGCAGCUCAAAAUGGGUGGUGAACUCCAUCUAAAGCUAAAUAUUGGCGAGAGACCGAUAGCGAACAAGUACCGUGAGGGAAAGAUGAAAAGCACUUUGGAAAGAGAGUGAAACAGUACGUGAAAUUGUUGAAAGGGAAACGCUUGAAGUCAGUCGCGUCGACCGAGACUCAGCCUUGCCUCGGCUUGGUGUACUUCUCGGCCCGACGGGUCAGCGUCAAUUUUGCCCCUCGGAUAAUGGCAAGGGAAAGGUGGCACCUUUACGGGUGUGUUAUAGUCUCCUGUCGCAUGCGAGGGAUGGGAUUGAGGAACUCAGCGCGCACCUUGGUGUCGGGGCUUCGGCCCACGUCACGCGCUUAGGAUGCUGGCGUAAUGGCUUUAAACGACCCGUCUUGAAACAC
RNAcentral lists this ribosomal RNA (644 nucleotides) under Lactarius scrobiculatus. RNAcentral's name for it is "LSU rRNA". It matches the Rfam family "Eukaryotic large subunit ribosomal RNA", at positions 43 to 662 of the family's 3401-position model. Lineage: Eukaryota; Fungi; Basidiomycota; Agaricomycetes; Russulales; Russulaceae. The record is from RNAcentral.